RNAcentral lists this ribosomal RNA (301 nucleotides) under uncultured bacterium. RNAcentral's name for it is "partial 16S ribosomal RNA". It matches the Rfam family "Bacterial small subunit ribosomal RNA", at positions 509 to 807 of the family's 1533-position model. The record is from RNAcentral.
CAGCAGCCGCGGUAAUGCGAAGGGGGCUAGCGUUGUUCGGAAUUACUGGGCGUAAAGGGCGCGUAGGCGGCCAUUCAAGUUAGAUGUGAAAGCCCUGGGCUCAACCUAGGAAUUGCAUUUGAUACUGUUUGGCUUGAGUUCGGGAGAGGUGAGUGGGAUUCCCAGUGUAGAGGUGAAAUUCGUAGAUAUUGGGAAGAACACCAGUGGCGAAGGCGACUCUCUGGUCUGUAACUGACGCUGAGGAGCGAAAGCGUGGGGAGCGAACAGGAUUAGAUACCCCCGUAGUCCCUGUCUCUUAUAC